UUGACCUCGGAUCAGGUAGGAAUACCCGCUGAACUUAAGCAUAUCAAUAAGCGGAGGAAAAGAAACCAACAGGGAUUGCCCCAGUAACGGCGAGUGAAGCGGCAACAGCUCAAAUUUGAAAUCUGGCCCCAGGCCCGAGUUGUAAUUUGCAGAGGAUGCUUUUGGCGCGGUGCCUUCCGAGUUCCCUGGAACGGGACGCCAUAGAGGGUGAGAGCCCCGUACGGUUGGACACCAAGCCUUUGUAAAGCUCCAUCGACGAGUCGAGUAGUUUGGGAAUGCUGCUC
This 284-nucleotide ribosomal RNA is filed under the name Colletotrichum nymphaeae. RNAcentral's name for it is "partial 28S ribosomal RNA". It matches the Rfam family "Eukaryotic large subunit ribosomal RNA", at positions 1 to 288 of the family's 3401-position model. Lineage: Eukaryota; Fungi; Ascomycota; Sordariomycetes; Glomerellales; Glomerellaceae. The record is from RNAcentral.